UACCAGCACCCCGAGUGGUCGGGACGAUUAUUGGGCCUAAAGCAUCCGUAGCCGGUUCUGCAGGUCCUCCGUUAAAUCCAGCUGCUCAACAGAUGGGCCGCGGAGGAUACUACAGAGCUAGGAGGCAGGAGAGGCAAGCGGUACUCAGUGGGUAGGGGUAAAAUCCGUUGAUCCAUUGAAGACCACCAGUGGCGAAGGCGGCUUGCCAGAACGCGCUCGACGGUGAGGGAUGAAAGCUGGGGGAGCAAACCGG
RNAcentral lists this ribosomal RNA (253 nucleotides) under uncultured bacterium. RNAcentral describes it as "partial 16S ribosomal RNA". It matches the Rfam family "Archaeal small subunit ribosomal RNA", at positions 474 to 727 of the family's 1478-position model. The record is from RNAcentral.